RNAcentral lists this long non-coding RNA (729 nucleotides) under Salvia miltiorrhiza (redroot sage). RNAcentral's name for it is "long non-coding RNA (SMIL_LNC002299)". The record is from RNAcentral. Lineage: Eukaryota; Viridiplantae; Streptophyta; Magnoliopsida; Lamiales; Lamiaceae.
CUCUCUCUCUCUCUCUCUCCCAAAAUCACCGCCCCUCUUCUCCCUCCAAGAUCCGCCGCCGCCUGCUCCUACCCCGGCGAUGUUCGCCGACUCCGAUGUCUUCCCCCCACUCGUCGCCUUCCCUAUCUCACCACCCUCUCUCUUAACCAGUCACGCCGCCACCCCUCUUCCCGAUGAGAUCGUCGCCGGCCACCACCCUUCCCUUGCUCGUCAACCUCCCUCUCUCACCAUCCUCCCAUCUGCCUCCCCCAUUCUCGCGCCCGUGUCCGAAGGCAGACGGCCAUGGAGGAAACGCCACCGCCGCCGCUCGCCUGCCUCGGCCGAGUUCAGCGGCGUCGGGUGCCGCCUUGCACCGUCCUGCCUCAAACCGCGCCGCCUGGCCUGCCUUCACCGUGAGCAGCCACGGGCUGCCACCACCCAUGCGGCGCCGGUCGCCGCAUCAUUGUCAGCCCGGCAUCGGGCCUCCGACAACCUCCCCCUCUUCUCUUCACUCAUUCCCAAACCAAAACAGCAAAAUGAAAUUCUCAGAUUUGUAAAGAUUUGAUUUUUGGUGCAUUGGUCAAGGUAUUUCUUUAAUAGAAACAGUUGGGUAUUUGGAUUUCGUAAGUUAAUCUUUUGUGAAAAUCAUGUUGGUGAUGUUUCCGUAAGGAAAAAUAAGAACCAAACAGAAGAAAAUAGUUGCUGUAUUAAAAUGAAAAUACAUAGAUUUACAGAGAUAAUUGGGGUUAC